This 316-nucleotide ribosomal RNA is filed under the name uncultured archaeon. Its description in RNAcentral is "bacterial SSU rRNA". It matches the Rfam family "Archaeal small subunit ribosomal RNA", at positions 332 to 648 of the family's 1478-position model. The record is from RNAcentral.
GCAGCAGGCGCGAAAACUUUACAAUGCUGGAAACAGCGAUAAGGGGACCUCGAGUGUCAGGUUACAAAUCUGGCUGUCGUGAUGCCUAAAAAGCAUUGCAUAGCAAGGGCCGGGCAAGACCGGUGCCAGCCGCCGCGGUAACACCGGCGGCUCGAGUGGUAACCGUUAUUAUUGGGUCUAAAGGGUCUGUAGCCGGCCGGAUAAGUCCCUUGGGAAAUCUGGCAGCUUAACUGUCAGGCUUUCAGGAGAUACUGUCUGGCUCGAGGCCGGGAGAGGUGAGAGGUACUUCAGGGGUAGGGGUGAAAUCCUGUAAUCC